RNAcentral lists this ribosomal RNA (266 nucleotides) under uncultured Staphylococcus sp. RNAcentral's name for it is "partial 16S ribosomal RNA". It matches the Rfam family "Bacterial small subunit ribosomal RNA", at positions 96 to 355 of the family's 1533-position model. The record is from RNAcentral. Lineage: Bacteria; Bacillati; Bacillota; Bacilli; Caryophanales; Staphylococcaceae.
CGGCGGACGGGUGAGUAACACGUGGGUAACCUACCUAUAAGACUGGGACAACUUCGGGAAACCGGAGCUAAUACCGGAUAAGAUAUCGAACCGCAUGGUUCGAUAGUGAAAGAUGGUUUUGCUAUCACUUAUAGAUGGACCCGCGCCGUAUUAGCUAGUUGGUGGGGUAACGGCUCACCAAGGCAACGAUACGUAGCCGACCUGAGAGGGUGAUCGGCCACACUGGAACUGAGACACGGUCCAGACUCCUACGGGAGGCAGCAGCC